UACGAAGGGGGCUAGCGUUGCUCGGAAUUACUGGGCGUAAAGGGCGCGUAGGCGGAUGUUUAAGUCAGUGGUGAAAGCCCAGGGCUCAACCUUGGAACUGCCAUUGAUACUGGACAUCUUGAGUGCGGGAGAGGUGAGUGGAACACAGAGUGUAGAGGUGAAAUUCGUAGAUAUUCGGUAGAACACCAGUGGCGAAGGCGACUCACUGGCCCGUAACUGACGCUGAUGCGCGAAAGCGUGGGGAGCAAACAGG
Molecule: ribosomal RNA, 253 nt
Filed under: uncultured bacterium
Lineage: Bacteria
Description: partial 16S ribosomal RNA
Rfam family: Bacterial small subunit ribosomal RNA
Source: RNAcentral